GUUGGUGAACCAGCGGAGGGAUCAUUAUAGAGUUGCAAAACUCCCAUCCUUUGUGAAUAGUACCAAGUUGCUUCGGUAGGCAAACCCAGGGCGGGUUUAUGGCCUUUGAUUAGGUGCCUGCCGGAGGCCCAAACUCAUAUAAUUAUAGUAUUUUCUGAGGUAUAAAACAAAUAAGUUAAAACUUUCAGCAACGGAUCUCUUGGUUCUG
This 208-nucleotide unclassified non-coding RNA is filed under the name rhizosphere metagenome. Its description in RNAcentral is "partial ribosomal RNA internal transcribed spacer region". The record is from RNAcentral.